UCUCCGUAGGUGAACCUGCGGAGGGAUCAUUACAGAGUUCAUGCCCUACCGGGUAGAUCUCCCACCCUAUGUUAUUAUUACUUUGUUGCUUUGGCGGGCCGUUAGGCUCCGGCCCGACUACCGGCCCCGGCUGGUAAGCGCCCGCCAGAGGACCCAAAACCCUGAAUAUUAGUGUCGUCUGAGUACUAUAUAAUAGUUAAAACUUUCAACAACGGAUCUCUUGGUCCUC
Molecule: unclassified non-coding RNA, 229 nt
Filed under: plant metagenome
Description: partial contains small subunit ribosomal RNA, internal transcribed spacer 1, and 5.8S ribosomal RNA
Source: RNAcentral